AACGAACGCUGGCGGCAUGCCUAACACAUGCAAGUCGAACGAAGCCUUCGGGCUUAGUGGCGCACGGGGUGCGUAACGCGUGGGAAUCUGCCCCUCGGUUCGGAAUAACAGUUAGAAAUGACUGCUAAUACCGGAUGAUGACGAAAGUCCAAAGAUUUAUCGCCGAGGGAUGAGCCCGCGUAGGAUUAGCUUGUUGGUGGGGUAAUGGCCCACCAAGGCGACGAUCCUUAGCUGGUCUGAGAGGAUGAUCAGCCACACUGGGACUGAGACACGGCCCAGACUCCUACGGGAGGCAGCAGUGGGGAAUAUUGGACAAUGGGCGAAAGCCUGAUCCAGCAAAUGCCGCGUGAGUGAUGAAGGCCUAGGUUGUAAAGCUCUUUACCAGGGAUGAUAAUGACAGUACCUGGAGAAUAAGACUCCGGCUAAACUCCGUGCCAGCAGCCGC
This 445-nucleotide ribosomal RNA is filed under the name uncultured bacterium. RNAcentral's name for it is "bacterial SSU rRNA". It matches the Rfam family "Bacterial small subunit ribosomal RNA", at positions 29 to 518 of the family's 1533-position model. The record is from RNAcentral.